GCCCCACGCAGGCGCCACCUCCACGUGGUGUGGGGCGGGCAACGUGUCCUCGUGACACGGCUAAGAGCGCC
This 71-nucleotide ribozyme is filed under the name unclassified sequences. RNAcentral describes it as "RAGATH-2 HDV ribozyme". It matches the Rfam family "HDV ribozyme from F. prausnitzii". The record is from RNAcentral.